GAAAUAUACGCGUACCCAAUGUUUCUCCAAAAAGAGAUGUCCAAGAAGGCAAAUGUUGACUUCUUCUGUAUGGAUGUAACAUGCAGGUACUGGCCAUACCUUAACAAAAUAGCCGAGGGAUUACCAGAGCUUCUGCCGUUGACAGAAAUGAGGCCAUUUCUUAGCGUGAUGCAUGCUAAAGCCCAUACAGCAACAUGCGAGGUGAGAUGGGGUGGCAGAAGUCAGGACGGGGCAGGAAACACAGUGGGAGAG
Gymnodraco acuticeps is the source of this 252-nucleotide long non-coding RNA. RefSeq lists it as uncharacterized. The record is from RefSeq and is a predicted model, not a curated record. The transcript is spliced from 3 exons. NCBI's taxonomy places the organism in Eukaryota, Metazoa, Chordata, Actinopteri, Perciformes, Bathydraconidae.